Molecule: long non-coding RNA, 375 nt
Organism: Biomphalaria glabrata
Lineage: Eukaryota; Metazoa; Mollusca; Gastropoda; Planorbidae
Exons: 3
Source: RefSeq, a predicted model, not a curated record
AGAGAAGUUUCCUUCGAGACUAAGCUCUCAUCAAUUGAUCUGCAGGAUUCCAAUGUGACAAUCACAAGAGUAUUUUACGAAUCAAGUGCCUAUGAGUUGACCCAAGCAGUUCUCGUAAUGGAUAAUUUAAGUCUUGUGGAUAGAAUCCUGGGUUUUAUAACUGAUUUCACAGGACUGUCUGGUCUACCUAUUGUGGAGUUGAUCAUUUCUCCUUUAGUGAUAUUGAUUAUAGCAAUCGUUAAAUUUAAUCUUGUCAUGUCUAGAAGCAGACGCUUAAAUACAAUCAUGACCAGACUUUAAAAUAAAAAAAAAAUUAAAUCUAGAUGUUAUGAAACGUAAAAAAUUUCAUGCAUCUCUCAUAGAAGUCUCAUUUCU